This 422-nucleotide ribosomal RNA is filed under the name uncultured bacterium. RNAcentral describes it as "bacterial SSU rRNA". It matches the Rfam family "Bacterial small subunit ribosomal RNA", at positions 355 to 774 of the family's 1533-position model. The record is from RNAcentral.
UAAGGAAUAUUGGACAAUGGAGGCAACUCUGAUCCAGCCAUGCCGCGUGAAGGAAUAAGGCCCUAUGGGUUGUAAACUUCUUUUAGACGGGACAAAACCCCUUUACGUGUAAAGGGUUGAUGGUACUGUCAGAAUAAGCAUCGGCUAACUUCGUGCCAGCAGCCGCGGUAAUACGGAGGGUGCAAGCGUUAUCCGGAUUCACUGGGUUCAAAGGGUGCGUAGGUGGGCAGAUAAGUCAGUGGUGAAAUCUUCCGGCUUAACCGGGAAACUGCCGUUGAUACUAUUUGUCUUGAAUAUUGCGGAGGUAAGCGGAAUAUGUCAUGUAGCGGUGAAAUGCUUAGAUAUGACAUAGAACACCAAUUGCGAAGGCAGCUUACUACACAAUCAUUGACACUGAGGCACGAAAGCGUGGGUAGCGAACA